This is a non-coding RNA of Pan troglodytes (chimpanzee), 117 nucleotides long. It matches the Rfam family "Metazoan signal recognition particle RNA". From Rfam's summary of the family: The signal recognition particle (SRP) is a universally conserved ribonucleoprotein. NCBI's taxonomy places the organism in Eukaryota, Metazoa, Chordata, Mammalia, Primates, Hominidae. The record is from Rfam.
GCUGGGCGUGGUGGCUCAUGCCUGUAAUCUCAGCACUUUGGGAGGCUGAGGCGGGUGGAUCACCUGAGGUCAGGAGUUCGAGACCAGCCUGACCAACAUGGUGAAACCCCGUCUCUA